GAUUAUUUUUUUAUGUAAGGUUACCCAGUGCCGUUGUGUCUAUCUGCUGAAAGGAGUUGCUCUCACAGGUUCAUUAGUUGAUUAAUCUUGUAAAUUCCUAUUAAAGGGUUUGGUUUGGUCAUUCUGAAGAUCGUGCCAUUCCUGACCUUCCAAAUGACCCACCAGCAUGCUAUUAAACUGAUUAGCCUGGGCCUUGAAUUUGACGAACCCAUCCUAUUUUUCCACCUGUCCCAGACCAAAAUCACUGCAUCCUCGCCCAAAUCUCUUGUCCGAACGUCGCCCAAAUCUUUUGGAUUAAUAUUAAAACC
Molecule: long non-coding RNA, 308 nt
Filed under: Ananas comosus (pineapple)
Lineage: Eukaryota; Viridiplantae; Streptophyta; Magnoliopsida; Poales; Bromeliaceae
Description: long non-coding RNA (ACOM_LNC014744)
Source: RNAcentral